GGCCAUGAAUCUAAAAUCCUGGCCCCCAGAACUCACAUGUUCCAACCUGCCGCGCAGUAACCUGUUAACAGCCCCCCAGAACUUGAAGCUCAAUCAAUGGCACAGAACAGUUUACAGAGUGGGGGAGCUACCUCUGUGUGUGCCCCUUACCGCCCCCUCAAGCUAGGCCCAAGAGUAGGGUGGGAGGGGACAUGGAUGGGGUUUUGACUCCUAAACUGACUGCUAGGCCUCACUGCCCAUGCCCUGGUUGUGGAUAGGAGUAAAGAAAGAAGAGAGACUUCCAGAGCAGUAAGUGGGGAAAAGAGGAAAAUGAGUAUCACCUGGGACUGUGUUUGUUGCAAAAAGCUGACAAUAUCAAGUCCAGUAAGGAGAAACCAUGCCCUAUACUGUAAACAAAAAGCAGCUGGACUGUGCUGAGGAGGUCCAGUGAGAGAACAGUUUAAGCAGUGUUUGAUGUUGCCAUGCAUUUGUGUAUUAGUUCUCAGGCAGUAUUUUGUUUUAGCUUGGAACUGAUAUUCUUUGCAACAAGAUGUAUGCAAAUAAAUUUCCCAUGAGCUCUUGCAAGAGGUUAUUUGCAGCACAAACUAAAACCAUUAUAAACUACUAAGAUGCCCCUAAACUGGCCUAAAAAUUAUCUGAGGAACAGAGAAC
Non-coding RNA from Pelodiscus sinensis (Chinese soft-shelled turtle), 651 nucleotides. NCBI's taxonomy places the organism in Eukaryota, Metazoa, Chordata, Testudines, Trionychidae. The record is from RefSeq and is a predicted model, not a curated record.